GACGAACGCUGGCGGCGUGCUUAACACAUGCAAGUCGAACGGAAAGGCCCAGCUUUUGUGGGGUGCUCGAGUGGCGAACGGGUGAGUAACACGUGAGUAACCUGCCCUUGACUUUGGGAUAACUUCAGGAAACUGGGGUUAAUACCGGAUAGGAGCUCCUGCUGCAUGGUGGGGGUUGGAAAGUUUCGGCGGUUGGGGAUGGACUCGCGGCUUAUCAGCUUGUUGGUGGGGUAGUGGCUUACCAAGGCUUUGACGGGUAGCCGGCCUGAGAGGGUGACCGGCCACAUUGGGACUGAGAUACGGCCCAGACUCCUACGGGAGGCAGCAGUGGGGAAUAUUGCACAAUGGGCGGAAGCCUGAUGCAGCAACGCCGCGUGCGGGAUGACGGCCUUCGGGUUGUAAACCGCUUUCGCCUGUGACGAAGCGUGAGUGACGGUAAUGGGUAAAGAAGCACCGGCUAACUACGUG
Molecule: ribosomal RNA, 468 nt
Filed under: uncultured bacterium
Lineage: Bacteria
Description: partial 16S ribosomal RNA
Rfam family: Bacterial small subunit ribosomal RNA
Source: RNAcentral